AGAAUCAACGCUGGCGGCGUGCCUAACACAUGCAAGUCGAACGAGAAAGUGGAGCAAUCCACGAGUAAAGUGGCGCACGGGUGAGUAACACGUGACUAACCUACCCUUGAGUGGGGGAUAACCUAGGGAAACCUGGGCUAAUACCGCAUAAUACCUACGGGUCAAAGGAGCAAUUCGCUUAAGCGAGGGGGUCGCGGCCGAUUAGUUAGUUGGCGGGGUAAUGGCCCACCAAGACGAUGAUCGGUAUCCGGCCUGAGAGGGCGCACGGACACACUGGAACUGAAACACGGUCCAGACUCCUACGGGAGGCAGCAGUGGGGAAUUUUGCGCAAUGGGGGAAACCCUGACGCAGCAACGCCGCGUGGAGGAUGAAGUCCCUAGGGAUGUAAACUCCUUUCGAUCGGGACGAUUAUGACGGUACCGGAAGAAGAAGCCCCGGCUAACUUCGCGCCAGCAGCCGC
This 461-nucleotide ribosomal RNA is filed under the name uncultured bacterium. RNAcentral describes it as "SSU rRNA". It matches the Rfam family "Bacterial small subunit ribosomal RNA", at positions 26 to 518 of the family's 1533-position model. The record is from RNAcentral.